Molecule: long non-coding RNA, 1411 nt
Organism: Cornus florida
Lineage: Eukaryota; Viridiplantae; Streptophyta; Magnoliopsida; Cornales; Cornaceae
Exons: 4
Source: RefSeq, a predicted model, not a curated record
UCUCCCUCUCCCUCUCUCUGCCACAUAUUCAGGGAUGCAGGAAAAGUGAUACCACAUGUAUUGAUGUUGCCAGAGAAGUGACAGAUUAUAAUGAAAGUAUGACGCAUGGAUUAUUCACAAACUUUCUUAUGAAGCAGAAACAAAACCGAGGAAUCAAAUAAAAUGAAGAAACAAACCGACAGUGAUAGUAAAGAGGUAGUUCUUUGGUUCAUUGUGAGUGAAACAGAGGAUAACAAAAGAAAAUGGAAUUGGAUAAUCACCAUUUUGUCCCCCAACUGCUGGGUUUUUGAUGCUUUGGUUAACAACUCUAGCUUCCGGGAGGUUGGUGGACUAGCAAUUGAAUCACUGUACGUUACCAUCAAUCACAACAUCAACUUCAUGAUCUUCAUGCUCCAGUGGACGGAAAAUAUUUUGGACUGCAAAGUGAAUGGACGUACAUCAUCAUGCAGGGGUUUGCCAAUGGCACUUGAGAUCGACGUAAGAGGAAUUCAAUCUCUUCCAAGGACAGCUUAAUUAAUUUGCAGGUGUCCAUUAUGGAGGCUUCAAGUCCUUCUAGGUCUCUUUUCCUUAAAAAUAAAAAAUCUGAUCUAAGUAACUUCAAGGGUUGCUUGCUGAGUGGAGCAAGUAAGCUGGUUGGGCUGUGUUUCUUUGAAUUGUCGUUUGAUGGGAAAAACUGGUUUGGAUGGAAGGCUGUGGGAGGCUUUGGAGUGAGAGUGAAAAGGUAAUAUGUAUGAGUUUGGCUAAACGGGAUGGUGGUGGUGGUGGUGGAGGGGCUUGAAGUAUUGAAGUUUGAUGUCGUGGUCGAGAUGGUGGUGAUGGAACUUGGGUCAGUUUUUCAUUUCACCAAGGUGUACGGGGCAUUACCUAUUGCCCUAGCUGGUAGUGCAACUCCCUGAAGUCUAAACAGGUAUGCUUUGAGUCCCAAAGAUCAUGUUAGUAGACAACCGUGGAGACAUGUGUGGACCCCAUCAUGUGAUGGGGCUCACAGAUAAUCCGGUGAGUAGAUGAUUUCCUGGACUCUCGCAAUGAAUAGCAGCGCUCUACAAGUGGAAUCAGAACUUUUUUUUAUUGUUACCAGAAAGAUAAAUGGCCAGAAAAAACACACUCCAUGACGUAGUUAUACACAACAUAUAAUACCUUAUUUAGUGCACUUCUGUGCAGUCACUUAGUAUAUAUACGGUUCCGCACAAGCACCAAUGCUGGAAGUUUUUUGAUAGGAUAAACUUUUAUUUAAGAAAGCACAAUAAGUGAAUACAAUUGAAUUUAUAUAUAUAUAGCCACUCUCAAAUCCUAGUAUAUUAUUUUCUCUCACUACUUGUCACAAAAGGAUUCAAGAAUAUAUAUAUAAUUCUUUAAUCUUUCAAAAUACAUCAACAGAGAAAACAAAAGAAAACUCUAAAAUCACACAAAU